Molecule: long non-coding RNA, 320 nt
Filed under: Setaria italica (foxtail millet)
Lineage: Eukaryota; Viridiplantae; Streptophyta; Magnoliopsida; Poales; Poaceae
Description: long non-coding RNA (SITA_LNC002842)
Source: RNAcentral
CCUUGAUGCUUGGCUGGUUGGCUGCUUGGCCAGCUAUAAAUAUGUAUCCCCAACCCUUGGUUGGACAUGGUAUUGUGGAAAGAAAAACCCAGAAAAUUGCCCCAACUCUUCCUAGUGCCAUCCUCUCGAUGAGAGUUACAGUUCAGAUCCUAACAACAUACCGUACUAUCCUGUAGCCUGAACAUCUCCUGCUCACAACCCUCCCCAGCCACCUUUCGUCCCCAGCCGGUAGCAGAAGCACCGGCUGUCCCUGCUCACUCCUCUCCCUCUACGCAGACGAGCGGCAGCUCGUCGGAAGCAGCCUCUUCCCCACGCAGCCC